AAUUCACCUGUAGGUGAAUGAAAUUCACCUCAAAGUGAUUGAAAUUCACGUAUGAGUGAAUUUCAUUCACCUACAGGUGAAUU
This 83-nucleotide microRNA precursor is filed under the name Melampsora larici-populina 98AG31. RNAcentral's name for it is "microRNA MIR807". The record is from RNAcentral. Lineage: Eukaryota; Fungi; Basidiomycota; Pucciniomycetes; Pucciniales; Melampsoraceae.